GACAUGAUAUCGCAUGGGUGGGGCCGAGAGCGCCGCUGUCUCUCCCAAUCCUCUCUCGCCCUCCUUGCCCUCUUCCCAAUCCCCUCCACAUCCUCUCCUCCUCGCUCGCCACAUAUGCACGCUACCGGAGAAAGCGGAGGUCGUGGUGCGGGCCUCGUGUGCGCGCAACGGAGGAGGACGGGUGCUUCGGUGGUGCGUGCGCGCUCGGUUGAGGAGGGCCUGGCUUUCGGUUGUCUGCGCACGCGCGGCUAAAGGAGCGCCGGGCUGCGGUGUACGCGCGACUGAAGGAGUGAUGGGAUGCGGUGGUGCGUGCGUCGGAGGAGCGCGAGGCUGCGGUGGUGCGUGCGGCGUGUCUGCGGAAGGCGGAGCUUGGUGCAGAACGCAGGUCGCUGGUGACGCUGCAGUGGACUUGUUGUGGAAAUCGGGAGCAAGUUAUGAUAUGUAAACAAAUUUGAGGCGAGGAAGCGGAGGCCGGGCCAAGGAACUGGGGGCAGCGGCGCUAGGGUUGCCUCCCGGAGUCGCCCGCGGGAGCGACUCGGGUAGUAAGGGCAUUUAGCAAGACCCUCCUGCAGUCAACCCAAACGCCGAUCCUCCCCAUGCCGACACAUGGCAUCAAACAGAGUUGCGGAAAAUAAAAUCUCUGAAACUUUCUUUUUUUCAAUGUUGCUUUAUGUUCCCUUUUCCAUGGUAUUAUCAAUGAAGAAUAGCAUUUCUUUAUGCUCAUUCCUCCUUUUUUGAUUUAUCGCGGUUGCCUCAAAAUGUUGCAAAACUUGCCUCAAUUUUGUUUGUGUGUUUUUUCAAUGGCAAAAGAAUGGCUCGGAAAGCAAAAAGGGUGUUCAGCAAGAUACCCCCAGCAGUUAAGCCCGACGCUGAUCCAUCUCCUGCCAUCGAAGAGCAUCAAAUAGAGGCACAAAUCAGUAUGCCCAUAAUUUGGUACAAGUGUCAGAGAGGGACUAAGGAAAUCGUGAUCCACGGAAGCAUCCCACAGAUAUCAGACAUCAAUGAGAAUCUAUCCCAAGAACUUGUGCCCAUAAUGCACAUAAUUGGGUACAAGCUGCCGGGGCAACAAAUCGUUCUUUGAAGUAGUGGUGGGAAAGCAGCCUUUGGACAGAUGUUGAAAGCGUUUUGGGGAUGGAAAUCUCACCAAAUAUAAGAGGAAUAUCAUUCUAUGUUUUCUGUCCCAUAAAACAUAAAGUACCAGUAGCAGCAAUAGUCAAUUGGAACACAAUCUAUUUUUAACUUUAUUUCUUACUAGUUUUAUCCUACUUGUAGCAACAGCGCACACCUUUUUUUUGCGCCAGUUUGGUCAAUUCACGUCGUGUGUUUGAAUGAUGCACCCCACAUUCUAUUUAUGUUUUUUGCUUUUUUUUUUGUGGCCUAGUACUACAUUUUUCACGUUUGCUUCAUUCUUGGUUGUUGAAGGGGGGAGCGAGGAAAGCGGCCGUAGCUUUCUCUCUUUCCUGUGGAAAAAGUCGCGCGCCCUUUUGUCUUUUUUACAGGCCCCACCCCAAAAGACCAUGUUCAAAGCUAUCAAACUAAUGCCCAAGUAAGGAAACCUCCACGAGCUGUCACCAAGUACUUUCCAUGGGCGCAGUCCAAAAUCACUGUAGGAGAUGAGAGAAACAAGGGGAAACACAAGGAGGGAGAAGUGGCACCCACGAUGAACAAAGGUCCUUGCGAUGGGGUGGAGCCAGGGGAAGGGUUUAGCUGCGGCAUGUUUGCGUCUCGCAGGGUGGAUGGGGGAGAGACGGACCAACGCUUUUCUCGUGUCGCGGGCGAUCGGCGGGACGCGCGAGACGAUGGCCCCUUUCUUUCCAAAUCUGGACCCAGGGGGACCGAAACAUUCCUUAAACGGGAGGCUGCCAGCGGGUGCUAGUGGGCAAACGUUUGCCCGCUAGACGCGUCCUACAAAUAAACCUGCAGUAUAAGCUACGGCAAUAAUUUCUUACUAGAACUCAGUGCGAAAGCAAAAUUUACAUCAAAGACCUGUUUGGUUAAUUUCUUACUAGAACUCGGUGUGAAAGCAAAAUUUACGUCAAAGACCUGUUUGGUUGCUAUAUGUGGCCCGGCUUAGCUUGGCCACCUCGUUUGGUAGUCUGCAUUGAGUCAAUGGUUAUUUUUGUGCCUGCUAAUGAGGGGUUGGAACCCAAUAACACAAGUCUUGGGCAUCACAUGCCCCUAAUCAACAUCAGUUUCACGA
RNA transcript from Triticum dicoccoides, 2200 nucleotides. RefSeq lists it as uncharacterized. The record is from RefSeq and is a predicted model, not a curated record. The transcript is spliced from 6 exons. NCBI's taxonomy places the organism in Eukaryota, Viridiplantae, Streptophyta, Magnoliopsida, Poales, Poaceae.